UACGUAGGGUGCAAGCGUUGUCCGGAAUUAUUGGGCGUAAAGAGCGUGUAGGCGGCCCGAUUAGUCCGCUGUGAAAGUCCAGGGCUCAACCCUGGAAUGCCGGUGGAUACUGUCGGGCUAGAGUCCGGAAGGGGCGAGUGGAAUUCCUGGUGUAGCGGUGAAAUGCGCAGAUAUCAGGAGGAACACCAAUGGCGAAGGCAGCUCGCUGGGACGUGACUGGCGCUGAGACGCGAAAGCGUGGGGAGCAAACAGG
This 253-nucleotide ribosomal RNA is filed under the name uncultured bacterium. Its description in RNAcentral is "partial 16S ribosomal RNA". It matches the Rfam family "Bacterial small subunit ribosomal RNA", at positions 524 to 776 of the family's 1533-position model. The record is from RNAcentral.